This 407-nucleotide ribosomal RNA is filed under the name uncultured bacterium. Its description in RNAcentral is "partial 16S ribosomal RNA". It matches the Rfam family "Bacterial small subunit ribosomal RNA", at positions 30 to 526 of the family's 1533-position model. The record is from RNAcentral.
AUUGAACGCUGGCGGCAUGCCUAACACAUGCAAGUCGAGCGGAGCGGCAGACGGGUGAGUAAUGCCUAGGAAUCUGCCUGGUAGUGGGGGCUAACGUCCGGAAACGGGCGGUAAUAACGCAUCCUAUCUACUGAGCCUAGGGCGGAUUAGCUAGUUGGUAGGGUAAAGGCCUACCAAGGCGACGAGCCGUAACUGGUCUGAGAGGAUGAGCAGUCAAACUGGAACUGAGACACGGGCCAGACUCCUACGGGAGGCAGCAGUGGGUAAGAUUGGACAAUGGGCGAAAGCCUGAGCCAGCCAUGCCGCGUGUGUGAAGAAGGUCUUCGGAUUGUAAAGCACUUUAAGUUGGGAGGCGUUACCAACAGAAUAAGCACCGGCUAACUUCGUGCCAGCAGCCGCGGUAAUUC